RNAcentral lists this ribosomal RNA (468 nucleotides) under uncultured bacterium. Its description in RNAcentral is "partial 16S ribosomal RNA". It matches the Rfam family "Bacterial small subunit ribosomal RNA", at positions 28 to 507 of the family's 1533-position model. The record is from RNAcentral.
GACGAACGCUGGCGGCGUGCUUAACACAUGCAAGUCGAACGGAAAGGCCCUGCUUUUGUGGGGUGCUCGAGUGGCGCACGGGUGAGUAACACGUGUGUAACCUGCCCUUGACUUUGGGAUAACUUCAGGAAACUGGGGCUCAUAUCGGAUAGGAGCUCCUGCUGCACGGUGGGGGUUGGAAAGUUUCGGCGGUUGGGGAUCGUCUCGAGGCUUAUCAGCUUGUUGGUGGGGUAGUGGCUUACCAAGGCUUUGACGGGUAGCCGGCCUGAGAGGGUGACCGGCCACAUGGCGACUGAGAGACGGCCCAGACGCCUACGGGAGGCAGCGGUGGGGAAUAUUGCACAAUGGGCGCAAGCCAGAUGUAGCAGCGCCGCGUUCGUGAUGACGGCCUUCGGGUUGAAAACCGCUUUCGCCGUUGACGAAGCGUUAUUGACGGUAAUGGGUAAGGAAGCACCGGCUAACUACGUG